CUCGUAGGUGGCCAACUAAGUCGGACGUGAAAUCCCUCGGCUUAACCGGGGAACUGCGUCCGAUACUGGUUGGCUUGAGUUUGGGAGAGGGAUGCGGAAUUCCAGGUGUAGCGGUGAAAUGCGUAGAUAUCUGGAGGAACACCGGUGGCGAAGGCGGCAUCCUGGACCAAUACUGACGCUGAGGAGCGAAAGCCAGGGGGAGCAAACGG
This 209-nucleotide ribosomal RNA is filed under the name uncultured bacterium. RNAcentral's name for it is "partial 16S ribosomal RNA". It matches the Rfam family "Bacterial small subunit ribosomal RNA", at positions 568 to 775 of the family's 1533-position model. The record is from RNAcentral.